Molecule: ribosomal RNA, 115 nt
Filed under: Bacillota bacterium
Lineage: Bacteria; Bacillati; Bacillota
Source: RNAcentral
UCCGGUGGCUAUGGCGAAGGGGUCCCACCCGUUCCCAUCCCGAACACGGAAGUUAAGCCCUUCAGCGCCGAUGGUACUUGGGGGUUCCCCCUGGGAGAGUAGGUCGCUGCCGGAU